Molecule: long non-coding RNA, 512 nt
Filed under: Homo sapiens (human)
Lineage: Eukaryota; Metazoa; Chordata; Mammalia; Primates; Hominidae
Description: HSALNT0328863
Source: RNAcentral
AGUUCCAAUAGCUGUGAAACAUAAAGAGACAAGCAGGGGAAGAUUUUCCAGAAAGGCUGGUGGCUAGGCACAAGCAAAUUACACCAUUAAUGUCAUCCUGGCGAAUGAAACAAGAGAAUAGUAUUUAUCAGAGAAAGUCUGGUGAGUUGAAGUCCAAGACCCCAGGAAACAACUAGCCCUGCUGGGCUGCCCCUCCUUCGGAGUGGGACUAUAUGAUCCUCAUCAGGCCAAUCCACGUCACAGAAUGGUCUAGGCAUUGGAUGAGUGCCUCAAUCUGAGCCAAUGAAGGUCAUUGCUGAGACAUUUUACUGGUUGCCAGGCUGCAGGCAUCCCAGGCUUCCUGCUGCCCUCAUGUCUACAACCUGUCGUCUGGAACAUUCCAGGAGCCACUUUUAUCACUUGCAGCAAUCUUCUUCAGUGAGUUCCCCAGGACUUGAUUUCAUCUUACAAUCUGAUUCCAUGUGUCUCCCAUAUUUUAAGGAUUCUUUAUUAUUUCUGGCUUACAGAGAACA